UUCCCAUGAAAUAGGGAGUAAGAUGAGGUGUUGUUGGGAGAUACGAAUAGUCAAUAAAAUCAAGAAAACCCCUGUAAUUAAGAAAAAAAAUGAAUAAAUGAUCGGGGCUUUUGAUUCAAAACUUUUGAAUCGACAACAUUAUCGACAUGUAACCAUGUGAAUCAAAUGUAAACAAAGUCUUUGUUGCACAAGCAUGCUCUUUAAGCGGUUUAUUCAAAAUUAUAAUACUCUGCUUCAUAUUGAAUGUAAAUUGAAAAUCUGGUUGAAUAAUUGCUUGAAUGUGAAUGUUAAUUUCAAUAGAACAACUUAUCCCUAAAGUUGUGCUCAUACUUACCACCAAUCUUUGUUGGCCAAGAUAAUUGCUGGGAUAUGAUUUUCAAAAUAUGCUGUUAAACCUGUCAACAUCAUUCCUAGGAUAACCAAGAAAUACAUCAGUGAAACACCUAUGGCUCUGUUGAACCUUAAAAUGGCCAUAACAGCUAAUCCAAUCAGGAAGAGUUGAAUGUCUGCGCUAACAUACCAUGUGUGGGUUAAGCACUGUUGAAUAAAUAGGAAAGAAACUCAGUCAUUAUCGACAUUGGGAUUGUUUUAUAUUUAUCUAAUGUCAUCGUAAUUGAAUAAGAAAAUUAUAGAUUAAAGAUUAUUUAAAGAAAAUGAUUAUCGGUGUUUUUAUUUGAAAGACAAAUCACUGCUAAUAUCUUGUUUAAUGACCCUGCGGGAUUAAUCAGGAUUGACAAUGACUCUACGCUCAACCUUGGAUUCAAUAUGCAGAUCAUUUCGUAAGAAACAAUUCUGGUACCAGUGUAGUGAAUCAAUCAUAGAGUUGGGACUAAAGUUAGCAACAUGACCAGAAAGCUUAGCGAAAAUUUAUCAAUGAGAAAGUAACCAAAGGAUAAUCACUCAGAAGACUAUCAAAGGAGCAAGUCUUAUGUACGAAGAUUAUUCAUAAGCCAUGCUGAAAUACCUUAAUGGAUUAACUUCUGAUU
Molecule: non-coding RNA, 986 nt
Organism: Tetranychus urticae (two-spotted spider mite)
Lineage: Eukaryota; Metazoa; Arthropoda; Arachnida; Trombidiformes; Tetranychidae
Source: RefSeq, a predicted model, not a curated record